CCCACUGUUGUAAACAGAUAGGCUCAUUGCAUACCGUGGUGUCUGACAAAGAAUAUGGUAUUAUUACCAACUGUCUUGCCAUGAAUUUGGGUGAACAACGUAACUUCCCUCCUCCUUUCCGUGACAUAAACUCUGACAACUCAGAUACAAUUUGCCUCCUGGCUAAUAAAGUCAAUAUGACCAGUCAAGUAUUCUUGUAAUGUUCUUGAGUUGGGAUACAACUUUCUCUUCAUGGUUGCCCUCAUGCUUGAAGGGAUGGGUUCAUCAGCACAAAUCUUGUUUACAGUGAGCAGGGAUGGGUUCAUCAGCACAAAUCUUGAAACGUUACUUAUC
This is a non-coding RNA of Lactuca sativa (garden lettuce), 333 nucleotides long. NCBI's taxonomy places the organism in Eukaryota, Viridiplantae, Streptophyta, Magnoliopsida, Asterales, Asteraceae. The record is from RefSeq and is a predicted model, not a curated record.